AAACGAGCAUGGCCCCUGUGCAAGGAUGACACGCAAACUCGUGAAGCGUUCCCUAUUGAA
RNAcentral lists this small nuclear RNA (60 nucleotides) under Fukomys damarensis (Damara mole-rat). The record is from RNAcentral. Lineage: Eukaryota; Metazoa; Chordata; Mammalia; Rodentia; Bathyergidae.